RNAcentral lists this transfer RNA (85 nucleotides) under Felis catus (domestic cat). It matches the Rfam family "tRNA". From Rfam's summary of the family: Transfer RNA (tRNA) molecules are approximately 80 nucleotides in length. Their secondary structure includes four short double-helical elements and three loops (D, anti-codon, and T loops). The record is from Rfam by way of RNAcentral. Lineage: Eukaryota; Metazoa; Chordata; Mammalia; Carnivora; Felidae. RNAcentral also lists the same sequence under 6 other names.
GCCUGGGUGGCUUAGUCAGCUGAGCCUCUGACUUCGACUCAGGUCUUGAUCUCGAGGUUUGUGAGUUCGAGCCCCACAUUAGGCU